This is a long non-coding RNA of Cebus imitator (Panamanian white-faced capuchin), 188 nucleotides long. RefSeq lists it as uncharacterized. The transcript has 3 exons. Lineage: Eukaryota; Metazoa; Chordata; Mammalia; Primates; Cebidae. The record is from RefSeq and is a predicted model, not a curated record.
UUUUGUAUCCAUUCAGAGAUGUUCUAUGCAACUGCACUCAAGAUAUUCUGUUAUUGCAGCACCAGUGGAUGAGCACAGGGAAUGACUGAGCCAUAAGAUGAAAGGAUUCUGGAUGGGCAAAUGGAAUGCUCUGUUCCUGACAUGGAAUAACCCUGGCAGAGGCAUGACUUCUCAGUUCAUAGUUAAGG